GGGCCCGCACAAGCGGUGGAGCAUGUGGUUUAAUUCGAAGCAACGCGAAGAACCUUACCAGGUCUUGACAUCCUUUGACCACCCUAGAGAUAGGGCUUUCCCUUCGGGGACAAGGUGACAGGUGGUGCAUGGUUGUCGUCAGCUCGUGUCGUGAGAUGUUGGGUUAAGUCCCGCAACGAGCGCAACCCUUAUUACUAGUUGCCAGCAUUAAGUUGGGCACUCUAGUGAGACUGCCGGUGACAAACCGGAGGAAGGUGGGGAUGACGUCAAAUCAUCAUGCCCCUUAUGACCUGGGCUACACACGUGCUACAAUGGAUGGUACAACGAGUCGCAAAGUCGCGAGGCUAAGCUAAUCUCUUAAAGCCAUUCUCAGUUCGGAUUGUAGUCUGCAACUCGACUACAUGAAGUCGGAAUCGCUAGUAAUCGCGGAUCAGCACGCCGCGGUGAAUACG
RNAcentral lists this ribosomal RNA (452 nucleotides) under uncultured Lactobacillales bacterium. Its description in RNAcentral is "bacterial SSU rRNA". It matches the Rfam family "Bacterial small subunit ribosomal RNA", at positions 917 to 1370 of the family's 1533-position model. The record is from RNAcentral. Lineage: Bacteria; Bacillati; Bacillota; Bacilli; Lactobacillales.